Molecule: ribosomal RNA, 253 nt
Filed under: uncultured bacterium
Lineage: Bacteria
Description: partial 16S ribosomal RNA
Rfam family: Bacterial small subunit ribosomal RNA
Source: RNAcentral
UACGGAGGGUGCGAGCGUUGUCCGGAAUCAUUGGGCGUAAAGGGCGCGUAGGUGGCGGGACAAGCGUGCGGUGAAAGCUCGGGGCUCAACCCCGAGUCGGCCGUGCGAACUACUGGGCUGGAGCACUGUAGAGGCAGGCGGAAUUCCGGGUGUAGCGGUGGAAUGCGUAGAGAUCCGGAAGAACACCGGUGGCGAAGGCGGCCUGCUGGGCAGUUGCUGACACUGAGGCGCGACAGCGUGGGGAGCAAACAGG